UAAUAAGCGGAGGAAAAGAAACUAACAAGGAUUCCCCCAGUAACGGCGAGUGAAGCGGGAAGAGCUCAAAUUUGAAAUCUCCGACGCUUGCGUCGGCGAGUUGUAGUUGCGAGAAGCACUUUCUCGGCGGAUCGGACGCGCCUAAGUUGCUUGGAACAGUACGUCGCAGAGGGUGACAACCCCGUCUGUGGCGCGUCCGGCCGCUCACGAUGCGCUUUCGAAGAGUCGGGUUGUUUGGGAAUGCAGCCCAAAACGGGUGGUAAACUCCAUCUAAAGCUAAAUACUGACGUGAGACCGAUAGCGA
Molecule: ribosomal RNA, 304 nt
Filed under: Flabellum impensum
Lineage: Eukaryota; Metazoa; Cnidaria; Anthozoa; Scleractinia; Flabellidae
Description: eukaryotic LSU rRNA
Rfam family: Eukaryotic large subunit ribosomal RNA
Source: RNAcentral